Molecule: non-coding RNA, 136 nt
Organism: Brachypodium distachyon (stiff brome)
Lineage: Eukaryota; Viridiplantae; Streptophyta; Magnoliopsida; Poales; Poaceae
Source: Rfam
CCUAUACUCUCUCCGUCCAACAAAAGAUGUCUCAAGUUUGUUAAAAUUUGGAGGUAUCUAAACAUGACUUAGUGUAUAGAUGCAUUCAAAUUUAGUCAAAGUUGAGACUUUUUUUGUUGGACGGAGAGAGUAUAUA